AAAAGAGUCUUUCUCUGAGGGAACCAGACACUUGGACCUUUGUCACAGACGGAAGAUGGAGACGCUGCUGGUUCUCUGCGUCGCUCUCAGCUUCACCUCAGCUAAAGUUACCACAACAACCACCUCACGGCCGGUUUACAGCACUCGAGAUUUCACCACACACAGUGUAUCCAUGGCGACUGACCAUACCGUCAGCUCGAACAGUGCGACCACGGAGAGACGAACGAGUCACGCCAGGGAGUCAACAGCACACGGGCGCUCCACCAGUCUGCCCGGCAACACCCCGACAACACCAGGCUCCACUGUAACCAUAGGAACCGCGACUGACCAUACCGUCAGCUCGAACAGUGCGACCACGGAGAGACGAACGAGUCACGCCAGGGAGUCAACAGCACACGGGCGCUCCACCAGUCUGCCCGGCAACACCCCGACAACACCAGGCUCCACUGUAACCAUAGGAACCGCGACUGACCAUACCGUCAGCUCGAACAGUGCGACCAGGGGAGUACCAGGCUCCACUGUAACCAUAGGAACCGCGACUGACCAUACCGUCAGCUCGAACAGUGCGACCACGGAGAGACGAACGAGUCACGCCAGUGAGUCAACAGCUCACAGGCCCUCUGCCAGUCUGCCCGGCAACACCCCGGCAAUGGAAACCAGUGACCACACAACACCAGAGUCCACUGUAACCAUAGGAACCAGUCACAGCGUCAGCUCCACUGGCGGAGGAAGCAGUUCCUCCUCUGGACCCCACAGGACAGCCGGCAACUCGGCAACAGCCAGCAACUCGGCAACAGGCAGCAGGUCGCCUGUCUCCGCUUUCCCACAAGAACCAAUCACAUCCCAGAUCACAGACACAAGCCCGACCCCAGCUGCAGCAGCCGGUGGCGGUGUCCCUGGAUGGGGAAUCGCUCUGCUGGUUCUGGCCUCUCUGGUUCUGCUGCUGCUGCUCCUGCUGCUUUUGGCCCUGGUGAGCACACACACACACACGCACACACACGCGCACGCACUCACACACACACACACACACACGCACACACUAUUUGUCAGUAAACUCAAGUCUUACAUCUAGAGUCGAUUGUGCGUAGAGCUCGGAGUGUUGCUAAAUUGCAGUUGACUGACGCUGAGCACUGUACCUGAACGCCUCGUUGGGUCGUGUUCGGUCCGUACGUGAAACAAGCGUCUUCUUCCACUGUACGUCAACGUCG
Molecule: long non-coding RNA, 1208 nt
Filed under: Scophthalmus maximus (turbot)
Lineage: Eukaryota; Metazoa; Chordata; Actinopteri; Pleuronectiformes; Scophthalmidae
Description: lncRNA (ENSSMAG00000033091.1)
Source: RNAcentral